This 327-nucleotide ribosomal RNA is filed under the name uncultured eukaryote. Its description in RNAcentral is "partial 18S ribosomal RNA". It matches the Rfam family "Eukaryotic small subunit ribosomal RNA", at positions 1470 to 1796 of the family's 1831-position model. The record is from RNAcentral.
CCCCUAGAUGUUCUGGGCCGCACGCGCGCUACACUGAACAGUUCAACAAGUCUUAACCUUGGCCGAUAGGUCUGGGCAAUCUUUGAACAUCGAUCGUGAUGGGGAUAGAUUAUUGCAAUUAUUAAUCUUCAACGAGGAAUGCCUAGUAAGCGCAAGUCAUCAGCUUGCGUUGAUUACGUCCCUGCCCUUUGUACACACCGCCCGUCGCUCCUACCGAUUGAAUGGUCCGGUGAAGCGCUCGGACCGCGGCCUCUUGACGGUUUUCCGUCGAUUGGCUGUGGGAAGUUCGUUAAACCUUAUCAUUUAGAGGAAGGAGAANUCGUANCA